GAGGGUGUAGCGCAGUGGAAGAGCAAGUGCGUAGCGAGCACGAGGUCCUGGGUUCCAUCCCCAGCACCUCCA
RNAcentral lists this transfer RNA (72 nucleotides) under Camelus bactrianus (Bactrian camel). It matches the Rfam family "tRNA". Rfam says of the family: Transfer RNA (tRNA) molecules are approximately 80 nucleotides in length. Their secondary structure includes four short double-helical elements and three loops (D, anti-codon, and T loops). Further hydrogen bonds mediate the characteristic L-shaped molecular structure. tRNAs have two regions of fundamental functional importance: the anti-codon, which is responsible for specific mRNA codon recognition, and the 3' end, to which the tRNAs corresponding amino acid is attached (by aminoacyl-tRNA synthetases). tRNAs cope with the degeneracy of the genetic code in two manners: having more than one tRNA (with a specific anti-codon) for a particular amino acid; and 'wobble' base-pairing, i.e. permitting non-standard base-pairing at the 3rd anti-codon position. Lineage: Eukaryota; Metazoa; Chordata; Mammalia; Artiodactyla; Camelidae. The record is from Rfam by way of RNAcentral. RNAcentral also lists the same sequence under 1 other name.